AUGGCCAUAAGACAUUGAAACACCGGCUCCCAUAUGAUCACUGAAGUUAAGCAACAUCAAGUCUGGUCAGUACCUAGAUGGGUGAGCAUUUGGGAAUAUCAGAUGCCGUUA
This is a non-coding RNA of Acanthosepion pharaonis, 111 nucleotides long. Lineage: Eukaryota; Metazoa; Mollusca; Cephalopoda; Sepiida; Sepiidae. The record is from the annotation of a GenBank genome assembly.